Non-coding RNA from Python bivittatus (Burmese python), 2396 nucleotides. NCBI's taxonomy places the organism in Eukaryota, Metazoa, Chordata, Lepidosauria, Squamata, Pythonidae. The record is from RefSeq and is a predicted model, not a curated record.
UCCUGUCUCCCAAGGUCAUUCCCGCAUACCAUUACAUUCUUGGAUGGAAAGGCUAGUUUGAUAAGUCAGAAAAAAAGGCAUGCAAGCACUUCUGUAUUGUUGCCAGGAAAAUUAUGGGAAUGUCCAUGAAGUUCAACAGAUGCUAAACUCAUCUCAAAGGAGAUUGUUUGAACCUAUCUCUCAAGGAUGCCCUAUGGGACAGCUGCCCAUUUCUUCUUAUUAAGUCACUCUAGCUCUGUGUAUUUCUGCUUGGAAGAAAAUUAUACUGACUUCAAUAGGAAUUUCUAAAGUCAGUAUAAGAACAUAAGAUUUCAGUGCUGGACAUAGGGAGAUCUCCUAGUAUAUACUACCAUUACUUCCUGGCUGGAGUAAAAUUGCUCCAAGGAAUCUUGGAGGACACUGAAACUUCAAACCACUUCAGUCUGAGUUUAGAUCUGGUGUUGACACCAAGGCACCCUUAAUUCCAAUACACGGUGAAUUACUUACACCUAGGAAUGGAUUGGAAGAUUGCCGAUCUUGGUGAAGCUGAAUAACUUAUUCGUGGUUUUGGAAUGGAUGGGAGCAAAUGAAUUUAAUUCAGAUAAAACAGAAGGAUUAUGGAUGGGGAAAUCUGAUAAACGGGAAGGGGACCCAAAAACCAAGUUCAUACUUCUUGAUUCAGUACUGUCUGUGGAAACUUAGCUGGCUAUGACUGUUCUAAACCAAUUUUGUAUGCUGUCAAGGAAAAAAAGAACCUAGAAUUGAAUUACAGUACACAUGCACCACAUCCAUAUAAUGUACUGUUUGUGGAAUUGCCUUUGCUGAAAAGUUUGCAGAAUCAAUCAGUUUUAUUUAUUAUGCCCUUUGGCUGGUAAAUAAAACAGUUAAAAGGAAAAAGGAGAGUCAAAAUAGAUAAACACAAAUAAGCAUAUACGGCAAUCCAUUUUAAAUUGUACUGUGGAUCCACUGCCUAAGAUGUGAUGCUAGAUAACAAAACUUUGCAACAUAGGUUAUAUUAAAAAAAACCCUCAUCCACAAGCAGAAAGUCUAGAUAGAAACUUUCUUUGGGUAAUUGUGGAAUUUAGUCACUACGUGGCAAAAGCAAUUGACACCAAAAUGUUUUUUACUGCAUCCAAUUUUUGUAUUAUUUCUGUUUGCUCAACCCGAAGGAGGAUGUUCAAUAGAUGGAUUAAUUCAUUCUCUUCAUCUACAUUUUCUGAUAGAUUAAUUUUCUGCUUGGUUGAGGUUUCUCGUGCCUCCCUUCUGUGUUUUCUAAGGCAAUGUUUAUUGUUUAACCUUGAGGGAGAUUGAAUUUAGGCCUUCUCCUGGCUGCAGAGGGGGGAGGCACAGACCAGAGGAGUCCUGCCUUUGAGCCUCCCCAAAUGAUUGGCUUGGUUCCCAGCUUGGAGGCGGGGGUCAAUGCGAUCACCCUUGAAAACCCCUAUGGGAACAAGGCAAAAUCUCCUCAGGUAAUUUUUCAGUCUAAAAAUCAUCAGAGGCAAAGUAGAGUCCCUAAAAGUUAAUACACUUCUCUUAAAGCCAUGCAACCUUAUGCAGCCCAGUUAUAUCAGUAAGCUUGUGGGUAGUCCUUGCUUAUCAAUAAGCUAUACAGGUAGUCCUUGCUUAUCAACAGGAAUUGGAACCGGGAACUCCAUUGCUAAGUGAUGUGGUUGUAAAGCACAACAUCAUGUGAUCUCACUGACUUAAUGACAGCAGUUUUGGCAGUCCCAGUUGCCAUUGUUAGGUGAAUCCUGCACGGUUGCAGCGUCCCGUGGUCAUGUGAUCACCAUUUGCAACCUUUUGCCAGCUUCCUCCUGCCAGCAGUUAAGUUCACAAAUGGUGACUAUGUGACUAUGGGAUGCUGCAAUGUUGUAAUUGUGAGCCAGAUGCUGAGUUCCUGAAUAAUUAUCGUAUGACCCCAGGGAUGCAGGGACAGUCACAUAGUCGCUGAACAAGUGGUCUGACUUUGGUUGCUGAAUGAGUGGUCGUUAAAUGAGGACUACCUGUAUACUUCACAUGUCUGAAGCUGGGCAGGUAAGUGCAGGUUUGUUGUACUAUCUUCCCUCUUUUAUUUGGACACUUGCAAUCUGCAACAUCACUCUGUUCAGUUGAAGUAUGCCGACAUUGCCUUUACUUUCAGCAGAGCAGAACUUCUGCCUGUUGUAAGGGCAUGGUAGAUUCUCUUCAGAAAAGUAAGAGUUAAUUCUCUGCUUGGGAACUGUCAACUGCUCUUCCCGAUACUGAAUAUGAGAUUAUCAGUGAUUUGUUUCUUCAAAAGGUUUUUUGAAAAGUUUUUUUUUAAUUGCUUCAGCUACUUUUGAAGUAUAUUCCAUAUCACCAGGCCCUGAUCGGCAUCCAUCCAAGGGUUAUUAAGGAUCUUAAAGCUGAGAUUAUGGACCUCCUAACUAAAAUAUGCA